Weissella koreensis KACC 15510 is the source of this 70-nucleotide non-coding RNA. Lineage: Bacteria; Bacillati; Bacillota; Bacilli; Lactobacillales; Lactobacillaceae. The record is from Rfam.
CACAAACUGCAACCACUCGAACCCCGUUUUAAAGUCGUCGACUGCGGAUAAGGUGAGUCUAAGUUAUAUA